RNAcentral lists this ribosomal RNA (253 nucleotides) under uncultured bacterium. RNAcentral's name for it is "partial 16S ribosomal RNA". It matches the Rfam family "Bacterial small subunit ribosomal RNA", at positions 524 to 776 of the family's 1533-position model. The record is from RNAcentral.
UACAGAGGGUGCGAGCGUUAAUCGGAAUUACUGGGCGUAAAGCGUGCGUAGACGGCUAUCUAAGUCGGGUGUGAAAGCCCCGGGCUCAACCUGGGAAUUGCAUUCGAGACUGAAUAGCUAGGGUGCGGUAGAGGGAAGCGGAAUUUCCGGUGUAGCGGUGAAAUGCGUAGAUAUCGGAAGGAACAUCAGUGGCGAAAGCGGCUUCCUGGACCAGCACCGACGUUCAGGCACGAAAGCGUGGGGAGCAAAUAGG